RNAcentral lists this ribosomal RNA (253 nucleotides) under uncultured bacterium. RNAcentral's name for it is "partial 16S ribosomal RNA". It matches the Rfam family "Bacterial small subunit ribosomal RNA", at positions 524 to 776 of the family's 1533-position model. The record is from RNAcentral.
UACGUAGUGGGCUAGCGUUGUCCGGAAUCAUUGGGCGUAAAGCGCGUGUAGGCGGCCCGGUAAGUCCGCUGUGAAAGUCCAGGGCUCAACCCUGGGAUGCCGGUGGAUACUGUCGGGCUCGAGUCCGGAAGAGGCGAGUGGAAUUCCUGGUGUAGCGGUGAAAUGCGUAGAGAUCCGGAGGAACCCCAGAGGCGAAGGCGGCAGCCUGGUUGGCUCCUGACGCUCGGACACGACAGCAUGGGGAGCGAACGGG